CAGUCGCCGCGGUAAUACGAGGGGGGCAAGCGUUGUUCGGAAUUAUUGGGCGUAAAGGGUGCGUAGGCGGCUUGACAAGUCUUGUGUGAAAUCUAUGGGCUCAACCCAUAGUCUGCACGGGAAACUGUCGGGCUUGAGAAUGGGAGAGGUGAGUGGAAUUUCCGGUGUAGCGGUGAAAUGCGUAGAUAUCGGAAGGAACACCUGUGGCGAAAGCGGCUCACUGGACCAUUUCUGACGCUGAUGCACGAAAGCGUGGGGAGCAAACAGGAUUAGAUACCCGCGUAGUCCCUGUCCUUAUACC
This 301-nucleotide ribosomal RNA is filed under the name uncultured bacterium. Its description in RNAcentral is "partial 16S ribosomal RNA". It matches the Rfam family "Bacterial small subunit ribosomal RNA", at positions 509 to 808 of the family's 1533-position model. The record is from RNAcentral.